Molecule: long non-coding RNA, 200 nt
Organism: Amblyraja radiata (thorny skate)
Lineage: Eukaryota; Metazoa; Chordata; Chondrichthyes; Rajiformes; Rajidae
Exons: 4
Source: RefSeq, a predicted model, not a curated record
GUGGCGGGGGGAUGGGUACAAUAGCGUAGAGACAGAGGGGUGUAAAAUGAGGGUAGAAGCAAUAGGUAGCAAGGUGAAAACUAAACGUGGCAUGCAGACAAAACCGGGGCAAAAAUCAAAAAGGGCCACUUUUCAGCAUAAUUGUAUAAGGGGUAAGAGUGUUGUAAAAACAAGCCUGAAGGCUUUGUGUCUCAAUGCAA